This 292-nucleotide long non-coding RNA is filed under the name Homo sapiens (human). RNAcentral describes it as "LHRI_LNC894.1". Lineage: Eukaryota; Metazoa; Chordata; Mammalia; Primates; Hominidae. The record is from RNAcentral.
UAGAGACUUUAAGCAUGCUUCAAGAGGCAGUUGCCCCACUGGAAUUUCUAUAAGGCUGGUACCCUUCCCAGAGUUACAGAAUCUUGGGUGCUAUCUCUAGUCUGUGAUGGAGGAACUCCCAGCAUCCCCAUUUUCCACAAAUGGAAUCCUCACUGUAUCCACUAGGAGAUUAGAGAUUAAGGUUUCUUUACUACUUCUAUGGUAGGGUUGUCUGAAAUUCCCUUUCAGGCUGUGGGUACUGGUCUUGGGUUCUAGUCAUAAGGGGUUCCUUAUAAGGAGCAGGUGGAGGGGA